UGGUGUAAAGGAUGAUCCGCCUAAUAAUUUACUUUUAUUAUAUUGGUGUAUAUCUGGUUUAAUAUUAUUGCUGAAUGGCAGAAGUUGUGUAGUGUUAUUUAAGUCAAGUCUAUGUGCUGUUUAUAAAAGUAUUCAUGCGUUACAUUAAUAAGUAUUUAAUUGUAAUAUUAGAUGAUUUAGGACUUAAAAGUAAUGUUUAAUUAAUUAGUAAAUGUGAAAUAA
Molecule: ribosomal RNA, 222 nt
Filed under: Hydatigera taeniaeformis
Lineage: Eukaryota; Metazoa; Platyhelminthes; Cestoda; Cyclophyllidea; Taeniidae
Description: partial 12S ribosomal RNA
Source: RNAcentral